CGCGAAAAACCUUACCUACCCUUGACAUGCCAGGAACCCUGCUGAGAGGUGGGGGUGCCCGAAAGGGAACCUGGACACAGGUGCUGCAUGGCUGUCGUCAGCUCGUGUCGUGAGAUGUUGGGUUAAGCCCCGCAACGAGCGCAACCCUUGUCAUUAGUUGCCAUCAUUCAGUUGGGCACUCUAAUGAGACUGCCGGUGACAAACCGGAGGAAGGUGGGGAUGACGUCAAGUCCUCAUGGCCCUUAUGGGUAGGGCUUCACACGUCAUACAAUGGUCGGUACAGAGGGUUGCCAAGCCGCGAGGUGGAGCCAAUCCCAGAAAGCCGAUCGUAGUCCGGAUCGCAGUCUGCAACUCGACUGCGUGAAGUCGGAAUCGCUAGUAAUCGUGGAUCAGCAUGCCACGGUGAAUACGUUCCCGGGUCUUGUACACACCGCCCGUCACACCAUGGGAGUGGGUUUCACCAGAAGUAGGUAGCCUAACCGCGAGGGGGGCGCUUACCACGGUGGGAUUCAUGACUGGGGUGAAGUCGUAACAAGGUAGCCGUAGGGGAACC
RNAcentral lists this ribosomal RNA (553 nucleotides) under uncultured bacterium. RNAcentral describes it as "bacterial SSU rRNA". It matches the Rfam family "Bacterial small subunit ribosomal RNA", at positions 960 to 1512 of the family's 1533-position model. The record is from RNAcentral.